CACAGGGAUUAAAGAUGAGACUGAGAGUCUGGGAUUGCCAGUCUGGUCAGUGCCUGGGAGUGAUAAAUCUUGGUGGUGAAGUAGGUUCUAUGAUCAGUGAAGGUCCUUGGGUUUUUGUUGGUAUACCAAAUGCUGUAAAGAUCAUUCCUGGAUGAAGAAUAGUAGAAUACUGAAUCCCUUUCUAAACAACCUAGUCAAUGUAAAACUCUAGGUUAUAGAGAAUGUGAUGGAUAGCUCAUUUACCACCUGAUUUAUGUCUGGAGUCGGGAGUCAGGAGUCAGGACAUCCAGCUUUGGUACCGCAUAGCCUAGUAUAUUCGAAGCCUGAUCACCUACAGUCACACGCAGGUCCUCUUUUUCUCCUUUCCUGGUAGAGCCAUCUACUCCUUGCUUGCCAUCUGGUGGGUUGUCGUUCAGUAGCAAUGGCGUUCCAAUUGCUUGGAAUUCUCCUCCCUUGUUUCCGCAAUGCCAAGCUUUAGGUUUCCUCAGCCCUAGUACUAUGGUUGAGGAUAGUUGGUGUUCGUUGGAGUUUUCAUCUAGCAUAGAUUGAAUUGCAUUUUCUAGCUCCUUGCACUAUUGUCAAACUCCAUUUCAUUUAGGCUUGAAGCUACUGAAGUGAUUAGCAGACCAGCAGAAUUAACAUGCCCUUGUGAAGUCACAAUUUGGUUAUGUACUGUAUCAUGUUCCCAGUGGGCUGAUUGCUGAUGCUUGGUAGUUGGUGCCAUUUUUCAAUUUUCACUAGCUUGCUGAUGCUUUGGGUCUUUUUGUAAACAUUAUGUACUAUUGUCAUGUUUUGUAAUGUAAAUACUAAAUACACCUUAAUUCUCAGUGGAGCAUACUUCAAAUUUUUCUUAGUUAGUAUUUUACUCAUUGUGAAUAGAUGAUAGGAGCAUAAAGUGUGACGUUCUUAAUGUGUUUAUGUCAUAUUCUUAUUCUUUGUUACUUAUUAUUUAGUGUGUUUUAAUUUCUUUUGUUAGAAUAAUUGUUUAGGAAGAGCUUGAUUCGAAUAUCUGUAAUUGGAUGAUGAAAACGUGC
This is a long non-coding RNA of Argentina anserina (silverweed cinquefoil), 1034 nucleotides long. RefSeq lists it as uncharacterized. Lineage: Eukaryota; Viridiplantae; Streptophyta; Magnoliopsida; Rosales; Rosaceae. The record is from RefSeq and is a predicted model, not a curated record. The transcript has 3 exons.